UGGGGAAUUUUGGACAAUGGGCGCAAGCCUGAUCCAGCAAUGCCGCGUGUGUGAAGAAGGCCUUCGGGUUGUAAAGCACUUUUGUCCGGAAAGAAAACCUCCGCCCUAAUACGGUGGGGGGAUGACGGUACCGGAAGAAUAAGCACCGGCUAACUACGUGCCAGCAGCCGCGGUAAUACGUAGGGUGCAAGCGUUAAUCGGAAUUACUGGGCGUAAAGCGUGCGCAGGCGGUUCGCUAAGACCGAUGUGAAAUCCCCGGGCUUAACCUGGGAACUGCAUUGGUGACUGGCGGGCUAGAGUAUGGCAGAGGGGGGUAGAAUUCCACGUGUAGCAGUGAAAUGCGUAGAGAUGUGGAGGAAUACCGAUGGCGAAGGCAGCCCCCUGGGCCAAUACUGACGCUCAUGCACGAAAGCGUGGGGAGCAAACAGGAUUAGAUACCCCUGUAGUCC
This 449-nucleotide ribosomal RNA is filed under the name uncultured bacterium. RNAcentral describes it as "bacterial SSU rRNA". It matches the Rfam family "Bacterial small subunit ribosomal RNA", at positions 355 to 796 of the family's 1533-position model. The record is from RNAcentral.